CCCAUUUUCUUUAUACCCUAGUAUUCAUUUGGCUAUGUUUGAUUGGUUUUAGGUUGGGGUGACCACGGAGCAUAAAAUAACCUCCACGAAGAAGAGACUAAUAAUCUUUAUCAAAGAAGUACACUUCUAAGAAUUAACAAAUUAAUUUCCAAUGAUCCGAUAUUCGAUCAACGAACCAAGUUACCCUGGGGAUAACAGCGCAAUCCACCUCAAGAGCUCCUAUCGACAGGUGGGUUUACGACCUCGAUGUUGGAUCAGGAUAUCCCAGUGGUGUAGCAGCUACUAAAGGUUCGUUUGUUCAACGAUUAAAAUCCU
RNAcentral lists this ribosomal RNA (315 nucleotides) under Boophis andohahela. Its description in RNAcentral is "partial 16S ribosomal RNA". It matches the Rfam family "Bacterial large subunit ribosomal RNA", at positions 2205 to 2597 of the family's 2925-position model. The record is from RNAcentral. Lineage: Eukaryota; Metazoa; Chordata; Amphibia; Anura; Mantellidae.